AAAAAAGGUAAGCUACUAAGAGCGAAUGGUGGAUGCCUUGACUGGUAAAGGCGAUGAAGGACGUACUAGACUGCGAUAAGCUACGGGGAGCUGUCAAGAAGCUUUGAUCCGUAGAUUUCCGAAUGGGGCAACCCAAUGUAUAGAGAUAUACAUUACCUAUAUAGGAGCGAACGAGGGGAAUUGAAACAUCUUAGUACCCUCAGGAAAAGAAAUCAAUAGAGAUUGCGUCAGUAGCGGCGAGCGAAAGCGCAAGAGGGCAAACCCAGUGCUUGCACUGGGGGUUGUAGGACUGCAAUGUGCAAGAGGUAAGUUUAGCAGAACAUUCUGGAAAGUAUAACCAUAGAGGGUGAUAGUCCCGUAUGCGAAAAACAAACCUUAGCUAGCAGUAUCCUGAGUAGGGCGGGACACGAGGAAUCCUGUCUGAAUCCGGGUCGACCACGAUCCAACCCUAAAUACUAAUACCAGAUCGAUAGUGCACAAGUACCGUGAGGGAAAGGUGAAAAGAACUGAGGUGAUCAGAGUGAAAUAGAACCUGAAACCAUUUGCUUACAAUCAUUCAGAGCCUUAUGUAGCAAUACAGGGUGAUGGACUGCCUUUUGCAUAAUGAGCCUGCGAGUUGUGGUGUCUGGCAAGGUUAAGCAAACGCGAAGCCGUAGCGAAAGCGAGUCUGAAUAGGGCGCUUAGUCAGAUGCUGCAGACCCGAAACGAAGUGAUCUAUCCAUGAGCAAGUUGAAGCUAGUGUAAGAACUAGUGGAGGACUGAACCCAUAGGCGUUGAAAAGCCCCGGGAUGACUUGUGGAUAGGGGUGAAAGGCCAAUCAAACUUCGUGAUAGCUGGUUCUCUCCGAAAUAUAUUUAGGUAUAGCGUUGUGUCGUAAUAUAAGGGGGUAGAGCACUGAAUGGGCUAGGGCAUACACCAAUGUACCAAACCCUAUCAAACUCCGAAUACCUUAUAUGUAAUCACAGCAGUCAGGCGGCGAGUGAUAAAAUCCGUCGUCAAGAGGGAAACAACCCAGACUACCAGCUAAGGUCCCUAAAUCUUACUUAAGUGGAAAACGAUGUGAAGUUACUUAAACAACCAGGAGGUUGGCUUAGAAGCAGCCAUCCUUUAAAGAAAGCGUAAUAGCUCACUGGUCUAGUGAUUUUGCGCGGAAAAUAUAACGGGGCUAAAGUAAGUACCGAAGCUGUAGACUUGCACACAACUUAGAUUAUUUAAGUUUAGAAUAUGAGAAACUAAGUUAUAUGUUUAGUUAUAUUUUUACUGAUUUUUAUAGAGUAAAGAUAGAAAUAAAACUUAGUAAAAUCAGUAAAAAUAUUCUUAGACUAAAGUUAAGUAGUUUAAGUUGUGUGCAAGUGGUAGGAGAGCGUUCUAUUUGCGUCGAAGGUAUACCGGUAAGGAGUGCUGGAGCGAAUAGAAGUGAGCAUGCAGGCAUGAGUAGCGAUAAUUAAUGUGAGAAUCAUUAACGCCGUAAACCCAAGGUUUCCUACGCGAUGCUCGUCAUCGUAGGGUUAGUCGGGUCCUAAGUCGAGUCCGAAAGGGGUAGACGAUGGCAAAUUGGUUAAUAUUCCAAUACCAACAUUAGUGUGCGAUGGAAGGACGCUUAGGGCUAAGGGGGCUAGCGGAUGGAAGUGCU
RNAcentral lists this ribosomal RNA (1633 nucleotides) under Campylobacter coli. RNAcentral's name for it is "partial 23S ribosomal RNA". It matches the Rfam family "Bacterial large subunit ribosomal RNA", at positions 1 to 1508 of the family's 2925-position model. Lineage: Bacteria; Pseudomonadati; Campylobacterota; Epsilonproteobacteria; Campylobacterales; Campylobacteraceae. The record is from RNAcentral.